This 471-nucleotide ribosomal RNA is filed under the name uncultured Methanosaeta sp. Its description in RNAcentral is "bacterial SSU rRNA". It matches the Rfam family "Archaeal small subunit ribosomal RNA", at positions 871 to 1337 of the family's 1478-position model. Lineage: Archaea; Methanobacteriati; Methanobacteriota; Methanomicrobia; Methanotrichales; Methanotrichaceae. The record is from RNAcentral.
UUGACGGGGAGCACCACAACGGGUGGAGCUUGCGGUUUAAUUGGAUUCAACGCCGGAAAUCUUACCGGGACCGACAGCAAUAUGAAGGCCAGGCUGAAGACUUUGCCGGAUUAGCUGAGAGGUGGUGCAUGGCCGUCGUCAGUUCGUACUGUGAAGCAUCCUGUUAAGUCAGGCAACGAGCGAGACCCACGCCCACAGUUGCCAGCGUACUCUCCGGAGUGACGGGUACACUGUGGGACCGCCGCUGCUAAAGCGGAGGAAGGAAUGGGCAACGGUAGGUCAGUAUGCCCCGAAUAUCCCGGGCUACACGCGAGCUACAAUGGUUGGUACAAUGGGUAUCUACCCCGAAAGGGGACGGGAAUCUCCUAAACCAAUCUUAGUUCGGAUUGAGGGCUGCAACUCGCCCUCAUGAAGCUGGAAUCCGUAGUAAUCGCGUUUCAACAGAACGCGGUGAAUACGUCCCUGCUCCUU